Camellia sinensis is the source of this 386-nucleotide non-coding RNA. The record is from RefSeq and is a predicted model, not a curated record. NCBI's taxonomy places the organism in Eukaryota, Viridiplantae, Streptophyta, Magnoliopsida, Ericales, Theaceae.
GCCUAUUUUCACCGAACUGUUAACGGCUGCUUUGGAACUUCUCACAUCAUGCCGUUGCUCAGCAGAUACUAAAUCUAGCGUGUCACGAGUACAAUGAAGUUUUGCACAAGGACGCAGCUAUUAUUAUCAUUAAGGGUGUUCUUGAUGCUGAGAAAUCUUACUUCGAUGAGCUUUCCUGACUAACACAACCUCUCGGCACCAAAUUAACAAUUUACCAUAGCUUAGCAACAAAUAGGUAACACGUACCCUUAUGUUUUAGAGGAUGGGGUUAAAAUUUUGUUCACUUUUAUGUGAGAGUAGUGGGAUGAUAAGUAGGUCUGGCUCUGACUUUUUUAACGCCUAAACGCCUACGGCGAUCUUUCAACAGGGACAUUUUAUACAUAUUU